Molecule: non-coding RNA, 75 nt
Organism: Myotis davidii
Lineage: Eukaryota; Metazoa; Chordata; Mammalia; Chiroptera; Vespertilionidae
Source: Rfam
GGUGGUUCUCAGGUGACAUGCCCCGGAAUCAAACUUCCUCCUUUUUGGUUCUGGGUGUGUCACCCAAAAACCGCA